Molecule: non-coding RNA, 1079 nt
Organism: Oryza sativa Japonica Group (Japanese rice)
Lineage: Eukaryota; Viridiplantae; Streptophyta; Magnoliopsida; Poales; Poaceae
Source: RefSeq, a predicted model, not a curated record
CGUCUCCUUCCUCCCGCACGGCCUCCUCUCUCUCUCUCCCGAAAACCCUAGUUGCUUUCCUCCCUCAAAUCCACACGAUUCAAACAUGGGAUUCCAAAAUUAAUUAGGGAGAAUUAAUCCCCUUUCCUUCCUCUUCAAUUGCGCCUAAGGCCUCGUUCGGAUAGAGCCCGGCCUUUUCCCUCCAAUCCCUAGGGAUAUUGGUCCACCACCCAGACCAGUGGAAAUCCACCACUCGCCGCCGCCUCGCUUCUCUCGUCGCGUGCCGACGCCUCCUCCUCUCGUCGCGCGUCGCGGCGCCGCCGCCGCCUCCGUCUUCUCUCCCCGAGCGGCGCCCACGCCGCCUCUCCUCUCGUCGCGCACCGCGGCGUCGGCACCUCCCCUGCCGCAUCGCAUCCCUCGCGCGCGCCGCCUUCCUUCCUCCCCAGUGUCGGCGUUGCUUCCCUUUCUUCCCCGGUGCCGGCGCCUCCUCCCUUCCUCCCCGCUGUACAUGCUGGACAGAGUGAAGCAGUCUUCUCCAAGCCCAGAUCCACGACAUCAGCCAUCAGUUGAAGCAGUUCGGGGGACUCAAAGGCCGGAGGGCUUGUUCGCCAACCUAGCUCACUGAGCUGCCAAGCUCGCUUGUAUUGGUAAGUUAAAAAAAAAGGGUUCAAGGGCUAUUCGAAUGAGGAAGCGGGAGGAAGAGGAUGACGAUAUGAUUCUUUUCCUUUUCCCUGCUCUGCAUCUUUUCUACUAAACACAAGUACUGCUCAGUUUUCUGAUAUGUGAUGUCCACGGGCCUUUUGUUUGCUGCACCAAUGAUGCAAGGAAAUGUAUUAUGAUGUAUGUCGGAAAGUGUUGUUACUAGAUAGAACUAUUAAGGCAAUGAAGCUCAAGUUAUGUCUUGUUUUCCCCUCAAAAAAAAAGUUAUGUCUUGUUCGAUUUAAUACUUGUAACACUGAGAGAUAUUUGUGUCCUAAAUCUCAACGUGUAUUGGUUCUUCAUGUUGGUUGCCUUUUUUUUUUUUGCAAUAUUGUAACAAUUACGACAUGGAUUUUGCAGCAGGUCUUCAGUAUUUCUUUAAUUUUCUACAAUUUUCGUAA